UACGUAGGUUGCAAGCGUUGUCCGGAUUUACUGGGUGUAAAGGGCGUGUAGGCGGAGAUGCAAGUUGGGAGUGAAAUCCCGAGGCUCAACCCCGGAACUGCUUUCAAAACUGUAUCCCUUGAGUGUCGGAGAGGCAAGCGGAAUUCCUAGUGUAGCGGUGAAAUGCGUAGAUAUUAGGAGGAACACCAGUGGCGAAGGCGGCUUUCUGGACGACAACUGACGCUGAGGCGCGAAAGUGUGGGGAGCAAACAGG
Molecule: ribosomal RNA, 253 nt
Filed under: uncultured Eubacteriales bacterium
Lineage: Bacteria; Bacillati; Bacillota; Clostridia; Eubacteriales
Description: uncultured Clostridiales bacterium partial 16S ribosomal RNA
Rfam family: Bacterial small subunit ribosomal RNA
Source: RNAcentral